GGGCGAAUAGCUCAGUCGGCAGAGCACUCGGCUUACAUCCGAGAGGUCACAGGUUCGAAUCCUGUUUCGCCCA
Molecule: transfer RNA, 73 nt
Filed under: Candidatus Omnitrophota bacterium
Lineage: Bacteria; Pseudomonadati; Candidatus Omnitrophota
Description: tRNA-Val
Rfam family: tRNA
About the family: Transfer RNA (tRNA) molecules are approximately 80 nucleotides in length.
Source: RNAcentral